CCUACGGGCGGCAGCAGUGAGGAAUAUUGGUCAAUGGGCGCGAGCCUGAACCAGCCAAGUAGCGUGAAGGAUGACUGCCCUACGGGUUGUAAACUUCUUUUAUAAAGGAAUAAAGUGAGGCACGUGGGCCGUUUUGGAUGUACGUUAUGAAUAAGGAUCGGCUAACUCCGUGCCAGCAGCCGCGGUAAUACGGAGGAUCCGAGCGUUAUCCGGAGUUAUUGGGGUUAAAGGGAGCGUAGAUGGGUUGUUAAGUCAGUUGUGAAAGUUUGCGGCUCAACCGGAAAAUUUCCAUUGAUACUGGCAGCCUUGAGUACAUUUGAGGUCGGCGGAAUUCGUGGUGUCGCGCUGAAAUGC
Molecule: ribosomal RNA, 354 nt
Filed under: uncultured bacterium
Lineage: Bacteria
Description: partial 16S ribosomal RNA
Rfam family: Bacterial small subunit ribosomal RNA
Source: RNAcentral